CUGCAUCUCUAAACCCCCCCAGCAAUCUCUUGUGGUGGUUGGGACAAGAAAAGAUGCAAGAUUAUACAUCAUGAGAUUUCCAAAGUGCAGCGAUUUUAUGUCCCUGCGCUAUUUCACCUCUCGUACAAAA
Molecule: small nucleolar RNA, 130 nt
Organism: Bombina bombina (fire-bellied toad)
Lineage: Eukaryota; Metazoa; Chordata; Amphibia; Anura; Bombinatoridae
Product: small nucleolar RNA SNORA14
Exons: 1
Source: RefSeq, a predicted model, not a curated record